CUCCCAUUUAAGAUACCCCAUGUCACAAAAUCAUCUAGUAUCAUGCAGAAAAAAUGUCUAAAGAACCAAAACAGAUUCAAUGCAGUGACGGCAGAAAGUGUAUGGGCAUGAAGAUUCAAAGAAAAAGAUGCGGCCGUUGAAAGAUUUAUAUGCUCCUUUGCUCCAGGAGAAAUCUCUUGAGACCUCACUCAGAGUGCACAUCCUUACCACAGUACAAGGCUAAUGAGCUUGGAUCGAUGGUGUUCUCAGCCCAGUGGACUGAAAACAAUAGAUUGAAGAUUUGUGGCAACCCUGUGACUACCAACUCUAUUGAAACCAUUUCUCCAAUAGCAUGAGCUCACUUCAGGUGGUGCUUGUGUGUGACUUGCCUGGGAAUUAAUUGCACAAUUCCUUAAUUUACACUCAUCCUUCUAGAAGGUGGGUAUACUACUCUUGCCAUUUUACAGAAAAAAAAGAUGAUUCUCUGGUCAUUUGUGCAACUUGCUCCAGUUCAGAUUACUAAGUAAAUGCCAAAUCUAGAAUUUAGACCAAGGUCUUUUUCAAUUCUAAAUGUAUGUUCUUUCUGGCUGCUUUCUUUUGCAACUGUUUCUGUUUUUUUUUUUUUUUUUUUUUUUUCUGUUUUCUAAAGUGAAUGCAGGUAAUUAAGAAAAACUGAACAAUAAUGGCAGCAUUUAUGGAAUAAAUGCAGAGCCCUUAAAAAUGACAUUAUUAAAGAAUAUGUUCCAUUUGAAUAUACAAGUUUAUUUUAGAUUUAUUUUUAGGCAUACUUUGUCUACCUUGAAUUGUAUAGUCUCGUCAAAGAGGUCCACAUCCCAAGCUAUAUUAAUAAGCAUAUACUCUUUCUUUUCCUAAAAGCAGUUAUUUCAGCCAAAGCAGAAAGUUUUUAUUUAUCUGCUUGUGCAGAGAUUUCCUGAUCCAAUACUAGCACAGAUUUAUGAAUUUAGUGAUUGCAGCAAGGAUCCAUCUAAACUAAGCUUAUGGUCAGAGAAUAGUCUUUUGCCCGCAUGCAGCUUCUAUUAGUGGUUGCCUUCUUACUCUGAUGUACAAUCUCAUCUGUGUUACCUAACGUAGUAGGAAAUGAAAACAUUGCCAACAUGAGACAAUCAGCUUGCAAAUAUUUUAUCCCCUGGACCCCCGUUAUAGUAAAUCACAUUUCUGCUAUGUACUAGCCUUUUAAACUUUUAUCAUAAUAGCAAAAGCUUUGAGUUAGUUACUUUGUGCUCAUUUUGUAAUGAGAUGGGGAAAUCUCUUGUCAUAUAUUGUAUAUAUACAUAAAGUCAUGGAUUCCUUCUAGGAUUUCUUAACCUAUAAGAUAAACUUGGUGUUUGAAACAUCUCUCCCCAUUUCAUCCUAACAAAUACUCCCUCUGCAAAGAAAAGCUCAUUAGCUUUAUAAUCUCUCAAUUAAUGAUAAAAUGCUAUAUCCAUACACAAAUAUAUAUUUCUCUUGCAUCUUCAGUCACUUAAGUGUAUCCUGUAAGUACUCUAGGAAUGGGAACUUGUCACAAGUUUUAGCACGUAUUUGAUAGGGAUGCUUUCAAAAUAAGCUCACAUUCCUAAGACAGCACAUGUGUGAUUUAUCUGCCUAGAAUGUUUACUUCACUCUGGAAAUUGUAGAAUGCCCAUGUGUCCUAAAUUGUUGAAUGCCCAUUUGUCCUAAGUCUCUGCUUAAAUAUUUGUACUUUUUUUGUGAUCCAGAUCCUCUAUUCUCUGGCCAGGUAGACAUAUUCUCUAUUUUUCCAUAAUACUUCUAAUAGAGUAUGUAUCACAUAGUUUGGUAUUUUCAUAAAUAAAUGGUAACAACCUUCUCUUGGGAGUGUUCAGUGGGUGAUUGUGGUGAAGCCCAGGUCAGAAUGAUACCUAUUGUUUACUCCAUAAAGUCUAGUUUUCUAGGCUGUGAUUGCUGUGAAACAGUGGAUUCUCACAGAGGCCAAGAAGCAGCCCCAGAAUCCAGAUGCUAAUACUCAUUCCCUUUCUCUUCUCUUUUUCUUAGCCUAAGACAGACAUCAAGUAGAGACUUCCCAGGUAAGGGUAGAAAUCAAGAGCAGUGUGAGGGCAGCACAUAGAGAGAACCACCUUAGGUUCUAUCUUAAAGCACAUCUCUGCUCACCCAUUCAGAGUGUGUUCAGACAGCAGGCCUUUGGGUCAGGUGCCUCCCUGUCUUUUGCUUGAAAUCAGGGUGAUAGGAUCACUCCAAAUGCCUUGACAAAUUAGAAAGAACCACGUACGUAGGUGCCUUUAAGCAGCCAGAUUCUGAAUUGUUAUUAGAAACAAUGACACCCUGGAUGAGAAACUGGCUAGCAUGGAGAAUGAGGAUGUCAGUUUCUCCCGAGUUGACAUAGUUUACUAUUUUACUGAAUUGCUGAUAAGCCUCCAUGAAAAACAUUCAAUUUACCAGGUUAGGUGUUCAGCUACCCAAAGUGAUGGAUAAAGAAGCAAAGUCCCAAUGGUUUUGAAUUUUAUCUCCCCUCAAUAUUAGAACAUUUGCAUCCUUACAUUUAACUUAGGAAAAUUGACAAUCUUUUUUUGGUAAUUCUGCUAUGUUUCAUCAAUAUAUUUCACUGCCUUGAUGAAAAAUAAGUUGCGUUUUAGUUGAAAUAGUUCACACAUAAUCGAUAGAGUACCUACCAGAAUUAGAGUCAAAGAGGCUCCCUUUUCUUAAUUCAAAAUUUUCCCAAAAGAAUAUUUUGUUACGAUAAUAUGCUUGUAUUUUGAUCAUAAUUAGCAAGUUAUUUUAGGCUUCUAAUCAGAAAACAGUUGAAGUGACUGUGCCUUUUUUUUGUAUAUGUCAUUUGCUCUAAAGUCUUAUAUUUUGUUUCAGUACUCAAGAGCAAACAAGUUUACUUACAAAAACUUUUUAAGAGAACUUGAAAAUAGAAUGUAUCAUGCCCAUCAGAUUUUGUCCUGGGAUCCUGGCAACUAUAUGUAUUAUAGAAAAUUAAAUUUAAAUAUUCCAUAAGUUAUCAAGG
Molecule: long non-coding RNA, 2968 nt
Filed under: Homo sapiens (human)
Lineage: Eukaryota; Metazoa; Chordata; Mammalia; Primates; Hominidae
Description: HSALNT0367707
Source: RNAcentral